AGUCUGCUAACCACAGUGUCCACAACACAUCAAAAGGCCUGAAGGGAUCAGCUGCGACAGCUUAUAGAAAGCAAUCUGAGACAUGAUUAAUCGUUUUCAAACCAAAUCAUAUGCCAUAAUCACAUCGCAAGUCUGUUAUAUAUAAGUGUUAAUGGGGCCAUAGUUGAAGAUACUCAAAUCAUUCUGAAGACUUUCAUCUUGUCUCUGAGAGGCACUCAUUCAACAUUUUAGGGAACAACCAAAGCCUCUGUUCACUGAAGCCCACUGACUGUCUUCCCAGAAAACACUUCAUCGUGCUCAGUUCCUGGUGUGUGGGAGGUGACCGAGACCCUCCAUGAAUGAGGGCACUUACUGAAUUUUGUGGACAGAACUUUUUCUAAAAUCCACUCCCACUCAUCAGCCUCUACUAACACCCAAGGAAGGGAUACAGAACAAGGACUGAGAACAAACCAAGCUCUCCUCUGGCAAGCAAACCAAAGUAAAACUGUGGUCAUUACUGGUGCAUAGGGUGCCCUUACAGGAAACUUGAGGAGGAAAAUUGAAUAAUUGAAGCCACCAUUUACUUGGCAUCAACUCUUUGCCAGGAAACAGGGGGAAAAGACAGGCACCGCUCUCAGCUAUCUGGACGUUGCUCCGACCCAGUGUGUAAAACCUCUUGGGCACUCAACAAAAGGACAGCUCAAGAAUGUUUCCUUCCUGAGGACUAAGGCUUUGUUUCUGUGAGGAAGCAUGUCCAGGCAAGGCACCAUGCCAGAGCAAGGUGGUUAACAUCUCAGAAUUCUCACUCAGCAGCGAGGAGCUCAUAGAAGGCAUAUGUAGCACCAAGUUGAUUGACUCUAAAAAUGAAGUCAGACGUUUUCUCUCAGAAAUUUAAUCUCUUUGGCUGAUAGGUUUGAUUGAAGACUGGAGUUUUCCACUAAUUGAAUGAACAAACUCUGCCGAUUUCAAUCAAAAUAUAUUUAAAGGAUUAUAAAACGUAAUACACGGGAAACCAUAUCUUUUGCAGUUAUUAGAAUUAUGAUAAAAAUUUCAGAUGUCAACCUAAAAACUCAUAAAGACCCCACUGGUUUCACAAUUUUUCCGUGGGGUAAAUGAACCAAACAGUUCUCGCUGUUCAGUCUCCAGUCCCCACUUGUCCAUGCUCUCUCUUUUUAGAUUUCCUCUUUCAGUCUCAGCAGCGGUUCCUCAAAGCUUG
Long non-coding RNA from Symphalangus syndactylus (siamang), 1195 nucleotides. RefSeq lists it as uncharacterized. NCBI's taxonomy places the organism in Eukaryota, Metazoa, Chordata, Mammalia, Primates, Hylobatidae. The record is from RefSeq and is a predicted model, not a curated record.